This 433-nucleotide ribosomal RNA is filed under the name uncultured bacterium. RNAcentral describes it as "partial 16S ribosomal RNA". It matches the Rfam family "Bacterial small subunit ribosomal RNA", at positions 29 to 507 of the family's 1533-position model. The record is from RNAcentral.
AACGAACGCUGGCGGCAUGCCUAACACAUGCAAGUCGAACGAGACCUUCGGGCCUAGUGGCGCACGGGUGCGUAACGCGUGGGAACCUGCCCUUAGGUUCGGAAUAACUCCCCGAAAGGGGUGCUAAUACCGGAUAAUGUCUUCGGACCAAAGAUUUAUCGCCUUUGGAUGGGCCCGCGUUGGAUUAGCUAGUUGGUAGGGUAAAAGCCUACCAAGGCGACGAUCCAUAGCUGGUCUGAGAGGAUGAUCAGCCACACUGGGACUGAGACACGGCCCAGACUCCUACGGGAGGCAGCAGUGGGGAAUAUUGGACAAGGGGCGAAAGCCUGAUCCAGCCAUGCCGCGUGAGUGAUGAAGGCCUUAGGGUUGUAAAGCUCUUUUACCCGGGAUGAUAAUGACAGUACCGGGAGAAUAAGCUCCGGCUAACUCCGUG